Molecule: non-coding RNA, 111 nt
Organism: Acanthosepion pharaonis
Lineage: Eukaryota; Metazoa; Mollusca; Cephalopoda; Sepiida; Sepiidae
Source: the annotation of a GenBank genome assembly
UACGGUCGUAUCACGUUGAAACAUCGGUUCUCGUAGGAUCAGUGAAGUUAAACAACGUCGAGAUUGGUCAGUAACUAGAUGGGUGAUCGCUUGGGAAGACCAAAUGCUGUA